RNAcentral lists this transfer RNA (85 nucleotides) under Nitratireductor aestuarii. Its description in RNAcentral is "tRNA-Leu". It matches the Rfam family "tRNA". Rfam says of the family: Transfer RNA (tRNA) molecules are approximately 80 nucleotides in length. Lineage: Bacteria; Pseudomonadati; Pseudomonadota; Alphaproteobacteria; Hyphomicrobiales; Phyllobacteriaceae. The record is from RNAcentral.
GCCCCCGUGGUGGAAUUGGUAGACGCGCUCGACUCAAAAUCGAGUUCCGAAAGGAGUGUCAGUUCGAGUCUGACCGGGGGCACCA